CGACCUGAGCUCAGGCAAGGCUACCCGCUGAACUUAAGCAUAUCAAUAAGCGGAGGAAAAGAAACUAACAAGGAUGCGCUUAGUAACGGCGAGCGAACCGCGCAAAGCCCAACUUGAAAAUCUCCCUUGGAGAAUUGUAGUCUAUAGAAGUACCCUCUGUAACGGGCGCAGCUCAAGUCUCCUGG
This 185-nucleotide ribosomal RNA is filed under the name Tetradesmus obliquus. Its description in RNAcentral is "partial 28S ribosomal RNA". It matches the Rfam family "Eukaryotic large subunit ribosomal RNA", at positions 1 to 193 of the family's 3401-position model. Lineage: Eukaryota; Viridiplantae; Chlorophyta; Chlorophyceae; Sphaeropleales; Scenedesmaceae. The record is from RNAcentral.